AUUGAACGCUGGCGGCAUGCCUUACACAUGCCAGUCGAACGGUAACAGGUCUUCGGUUGCUGCCGAGUGGCGGACGGGCGAGUAAUACAUCGGAACGUGCCCGACCGUGGGGGAUAACGAAGCGAAAGCUUUGCUAAUAACCCAUACGAUCUUCGGGUGACAGGAGGGGACCGCAAGGCCUUGCGGGAACGGGCCGGCCGAUGGGCGAUUAGGUAGUUGGUGGGGUAAAAGCUUACCAAGGCGACGAUCUGUAGCUGGUCUGAGAGGCCGACCAGCCACACUGGAACUGAGACACGGCCCAGACUCCUACGGGAGGCAGCAGUGGGGAAUAUUGGACAAUGGGCGAAAGCCUGAUCCAGCCAUGCCGCGUGCAGGAUGAAGGCCUUCGGGUUGUAAACUGCUUUUGUACGGAACGAAAAGACUCUGGUUAAUACCUGGGGUCCAUGACGGUACCGUAAGAAUAAGCACCGGCUAACUACGUG
Molecule: ribosomal RNA, 482 nt
Filed under: uncultured bacterium
Lineage: Bacteria
Description: partial 16S ribosomal RNA
Rfam family: Bacterial small subunit ribosomal RNA
Source: RNAcentral